AUUGAACGCUGGCGGCAUGCCUUACACAUGCAAGUCGAACGGUAACGCGGGGCAACCUGGCGACGAGUGGCGAACGGGUGAGUAAUACAUCGGAACGUGCCCAGUAGUGGGGGAUAGCCCGGCGAAAGCCGGAUUAAUACCGCAUACGACCUAUGGGUGAAAGCGGGGGAGUCGCAAGACCUCGCGCUAUUGGAGCGGCCGAUGUCAGAUUAGGUAGUUGGUGGGGUAAAAGCCUACCAAGCCGACGAUCUGUAGCUGGUCUGAGAGGACGACCAGCCACACUGGGACUGAGACACGGCCCAGACUCCUACGGGAGGCAGCAGUGGGGAAUUUUGGACAAUGGGCGCAAGCCUGAUCCAGCCAUGCCGCGUGCGGGAAGAAGGCC
Molecule: ribosomal RNA, 385 nt
Filed under: uncultured bacterium
Lineage: Bacteria
Description: bacterial SSU rRNA
Rfam family: Bacterial small subunit ribosomal RNA
Source: RNAcentral